RNAcentral lists this ribosomal RNA (253 nucleotides) under uncultured bacterium. RNAcentral describes it as "partial 16S ribosomal RNA". It matches the Rfam family "Bacterial small subunit ribosomal RNA", at positions 524 to 776 of the family's 1533-position model. The record is from RNAcentral.
UACGUAGGGUCCGAGCGUUGUCCGGAAUUAUUGGGCGUAAAGGGCUCGUAGGCGGUUGGUCACGUCGGGAGUGAAAACUCAGGGCUCAACCCUGAGCGUGCUUCCGAUACGGGCCGACUAGAGGUAUGCAGGGGAGAACGGAAUUCCUGGUGUAGCGGUGGAAUGCGCAGAUAUCAGGAGGAACACCGGUGGCGAAGGCGGUUCUCUGGGCAUUACCUGACGCUGAGGCGCGAAAGCUAGGGGAGCAAACAGG